RNAcentral lists this ribosomal RNA (429 nucleotides) under Bacteroidota bacterium. Its description in RNAcentral is "Bacteroidetes bacterium partial 16S ribosomal RNA". It matches the Rfam family "Bacterial small subunit ribosomal RNA", at positions 355 to 776 of the family's 1533-position model. The record is from RNAcentral. Lineage: Bacteria; Pseudomonadati; Bacteroidota.
UAGGGAAUCUUCGGCAAUGGGGGGAACCCUGACCGAGCAACGCCGCGUGAGUGAAGAAGGUUUUCGGAUCGUAAAGCUCUGUUGUUAAGGAAGAACGAGUGUGAGAAUGGAAAGUUCAUACUGUGACGGUACUUAACCAGAAAGGGACGGCUAACUACGUGCCAGCAGCCGUGGUAAUACGUAGGUCCCGAGCGUUGUCCGGAUUUAUUGGGCGUAAAGCGAGCGCAGGCGGUUAGAUAAGUCUGAAGUUAAAGGCAGUGGCUCAACCAUAGUAGGCUUUGGAAACUGUUUAACUUGAGUGCAGAAGGGGAGAGUGGAAUUCCAUGUGUAGCGGUGAAAUGCGUAGAUAUAUGGAGGAACACCGGUGGCGAAAGCGGCUCUCUGGUCUGUAACUGACGCUGAGGCUCGAAAGCGUGGGGAGCGAACAGG